Molecule: unclassified non-coding RNA, 229 nt
Filed under: fungal sp.
Lineage: Eukaryota; Fungi
Description: partial internal transcribed spacer region
Rfam family: Eukaryotic small subunit ribosomal RNA (bases 1-46)
Source: RNAcentral
AAGUCGUAACAAGGUUUCCGUAGGUGAACCUGCGGAAGGAUCAUUAACACUUUGCUAUCCAAAACCUUAUUUGGAUCAACCCAACCACUCGGGCGAACCGAUUGCCUUUGUUUUCCCUUGCCCCUUUUUCAAACACCUCUGACCAUCAUUGUGUCUGAACGGUUUCUCUUCCUGAGAAACAAAACUCUAACGCAAUACAACUCUUAACAACGGAUAUCUUGGCUCUCGC